UCGACUUAAUAAUGCAUCAAGUUUCAGCUGAUUGUCAAAUAAUUCACUCCAUCUCAAUGCUGCGUAACUCUGCGUGUUUUAAUCAAUGGGCGCACGCGCUGAACAUUCGAGCCGCAUUUGAACUGGAGCAGACAACGUUACCAUGGAAACCGGGCGGUAGCUCAACUGACAACGAUCAGCACAGCUCCAUCUCUCGCUGUUGUUUUCACUACUUUCAGUAUUGUUAGCUCCAACCCCAAUUAAUCAGACCUGAGCAGCUGACUAAACAUCACCAGAAACUCUGCAGAACACUGGCCCUGGUCUGGUCUGGAUGCCACUGUUGCUAAAGCAUUUCAAGUAAAAACUUAAGUCGUGGCUUAAUAAUCCGGGGUUGGGAUGGUGGAAGGAGCAGAAGAACCAGAAGAUCGGAGAUCAGGAAGAUAUCUGUUGGUGCCUCUGAGGGAACUGAUUUAAUGU
Non-coding RNA from Pimephales promelas (fathead minnow), 456 nucleotides. NCBI's taxonomy places the organism in Eukaryota, Metazoa, Chordata, Actinopteri, Cypriniformes, Leuciscidae. The record is from RefSeq and is a predicted model, not a curated record.